This 1455-nucleotide ribosomal RNA is filed under the name Triticum aestivum (bread wheat). Its description in RNAcentral is "partial small subunit ribosomal RNA". The record is from RNAcentral. Lineage: Eukaryota; Viridiplantae; Streptophyta; Magnoliopsida; Poales; Poaceae.
AUGGCGCACUACCCCCCUCUCGCCCAAUCCCGCUUCCCCAGCGAGCUCUACGCCCAUGGGGAUCCAGAUCUGAGGCCAGAGAGGGGUGGGGGCCUAAUCUCCCGCACCCCCGGGAUGGAGGCGUUGGAGGCUGAUUUCAGGAAUCGGGCCCUUCUGGCGUCGGUUCAAGGCAGGCGACCGGCGGUCUCGCUGGAGGCCCUGGUCCAGGCGCUGGACAGGUUCUGUGGGGUGGAGAGGAGGCAUGUCCGGGUCGAGGUGGCUCAUCCGGAUGACUUCUUCAUAUCCUUCGCCUCCACGGAAGACUGCGACAGGGUGUUGUCCUACACUGGGAAGAUCAAAUGCGCUGGAGCCCCCAUUGCGUUUCGUCGCUGGCAUAGGAGCGCGCAAGCAAGAGGAGGCAAGCUUGAUUUUUUCUGCAAGCUGGGGAUCGAAGGUAUGCCUGCUGAUGCCUGGGAGUGGGGCGCGGUGAAUCAACUCAUCAACAACCUACAGGGCCAGCUCGUCGAGAUCUUGCCGCAAGAAGACCGCUGGCAGAUGGAUGUCACAGCCUGGAUGAGGAAUCCCUCCGGCGUCCCGAAGACCUUUGAUCUGGAGAUCCCGGAGCCGGUGGGACUGCCUAACUCCUUCGAGCCGGAGGCACCUCUGUCGCCGCCGCCCGCGCCACCGACGGAGAGGCGCACACUCGUCCACCCCCUCACAAUCCAUGUGCUGGAUGUGGUGGACCGUACUGUCCCAUUCUUGGAGUUUAAUCAAGAUUUUGAGCCCGAUGAGGAUGAGGAUCUAACCAGGCGUCACGACUACUCUCGAUUCUGUUUCAGAGGAAGAGUGGAUGGCACCGGGAGUGGUAAUACGCCUCGUUCUGGGGCUCACCCUUUUGGUGGCCCGGGUGGUUUCGGGAUUGCCGGGGACUGGGGCAGACGCCGAGCACAUGGUCUUUUGGCUCCGGCGGGAGGCAUGCCACUCCCACAUCUGCAGUCUGUGAGGAGGAUUCCGGUCAGACCCAGGGGAGGCGGAUCCAUGUCUCCUGCGCCGCCUGUUUGCACGGGGCCGAUGGAUGGAGGGCUUGCGCCUGCAGCCGCUCUGACCUCCUUGGCGACACGCUCUCCAUCACUUGCUGCUUCCCUUCCCCCCCACGGUGGUUGGCUCUGCGGCACUAGUGGACAUGCCGGCAACGCCGGAUUCCCUAGCCCCGACGGCGGUGGGAUCGGCGGCUUCUGGAAAUACUCCCCCUUUUGGUCGAGCUACUCUCCAUAUGCAGCUAUCGCCCUGCCGCCUCUCCUUUGGUUUGGACGAGGAGGAGCACGAGGCGCCCACGGAUGCGGCUUUGGCGCCCAUGGGAAGGGGGAGCCCGCUCGCGGGGGAGGAGAUCUCUUCCGCCUCAGCUACGGAGUUGCCUGUCGAUCUAGUUGCAGGACCACAGGGGCUCAAACCUCUCGUGAUGCAGAGACAAGUUGA